GUCACUUCACGCUUGUAUAUCAUUAACUGACAAUUUCAAAGGGACACUAUAGUCACCAGAGCAACUACAGCUUAUUAUAUUUGUUCUGGUGGGUAGAAUCAUUCCCUUCCCCUCUUUUUACAGUAAACACUGCCGUUUCAGUGAAAAUGAAGUGUUUACAUUACAGCCUAGGGAUACCUCCACUGGCCACUUGUCAGAUGGCUACUAGAGGUGCU
Molecule: non-coding RNA, 215 nt
Organism: Pelobates cultripes (western spadefoot toad)
Lineage: Eukaryota; Metazoa; Chordata; Amphibia; Anura; Pelobatidae
Source: the annotation of a GenBank genome assembly